AGUCGAGGGGUAUAGUUCUUCGGAACUAGAGACCGGCGCACGGGUGCGUAACGCGUAUGCAAUCUACCUUUUACAGAGGGAUAGCCCAGAGAAAUUUGGAUUAAUACCUCAUAGUAUAAUGACCUGGCAUCAGGAUGUUAUUAAAGUCACAACGGUAAAAGAUGAGCAUGCGUCCCAUUAGCUAGUUGGUAAGGUAACGGCUUACCAAGGCUACGAUGGGUAGGGGUCCUGAGAGGGAGAUCCCCCACACUGGUACUGAGACACGGACCAGACUCCUACGGGAGGCAGCAGUGAGGAAUAUUGGACAAUGGGCGCAAGCCUGAUCCAGCCAUGCCGCGUGCAGGAUGACGGUCCUAUGGAUUGUAAACUGCUUUUAUACGAGAAGAAACACUCCAACGUGUUGGAGCUUGACGGUAUCGUAAGAAUAAGGAUCGGCUAACUCCGUGCCAGCAGCCGCGGUAAUACGGAGGAUCCAAGCGUUAUCCGGAAUCAUUGGGUUUAAAGGGUCCGUAGGCGGUUUAAUAAGUCAGUGGUGAAAGCCCAUCGCUCAACGGUGGAACGGCCAUUGAUACUGUUAAACUUGAAUUAUUAGGAAGUAACUAGAAUAUGUAGUGUAGCGGUGAAAUGCUUAGAGAUUACAUGGAAUACCAAUUGCGAAGGCAGGUUACUACUAAUGGAUUGACGCUGAUGGACGAAAGCGUGGGUAGCGAACAGGAUUAGAUACCCUGGUAGUCCA
This 736-nucleotide ribosomal RNA is filed under the name uncultured Bacteroidota bacterium. RNAcentral describes it as "bacterial SSU rRNA". It matches the Rfam family "Bacterial small subunit ribosomal RNA", at positions 60 to 797 of the family's 1533-position model. The record is from RNAcentral. Lineage: Bacteria; Pseudomonadati; Bacteroidota.